This 484-nucleotide ribosomal RNA is filed under the name uncultured bacterium. RNAcentral's name for it is "partial 16S ribosomal RNA". It matches the Rfam family "Bacterial small subunit ribosomal RNA", at positions 28 to 523 of the family's 1533-position model. The record is from RNAcentral.
GACGAACGCUGGCGGCGUGCUUAACACAUGCAAGUCGAACGAUGAAGCCGGAGCUUGCUCUGGUGAAUUAGUGGCGAACGGGUGAGUAACACGUGAGUAACCUGCCCUUGACUCUGGGAUAACUGCGGGAAACUGUAGCUAAUACCGGAUACGACCCUCGGAGGCAUCUCCUGGGGGUGGAAAGAAUUUCGGUCAAGGAUGGACUCGCGGCCUAUCAGCUAGUUGGUGAGGUAAAGGCUCACCGAGGCGACGACGGGUAGCCGGCCUGAGAGGGUGACCGGCCACACUGGGACUGAGACACGGCCCAGACUCCUACGGGAGGCAGCAGUGGGGAAUAUUGCACAAUGGGCGCAAGCCUGAUGCAGCAACGCCGCGUGAGGGAUGACGGCCUUCGGGUUGUAAACCUCUUUUAGCAGGGAAGAAGCGAAAGUGACGGUACCUGCAGAAGAAGCACCGGCUAACUACGUGCCAGCCGCCGCAGUAA